RNAcentral lists this ribosomal RNA (406 nucleotides) under uncultured bacterium. RNAcentral describes it as "partial 16S ribosomal RNA". It matches the Rfam family "Bacterial small subunit ribosomal RNA", at positions 28 to 526 of the family's 1533-position model. The record is from RNAcentral.
GACGAACGCUGGCGGCGUGCCUAAUACAUGCAAGUAGAACGAGUUGCGAACGGGUGAGUAACGCGUGGUAACCUGCCUCAUAGCGGGGGAUAACUAUUGGAAACGAUAGCUAAUACCGCAAACUGUGAGAUGGACAUGCGUUGUAUUAGCUAGUUGGUGAGGUAAAGGCUCACCAAGGGGACGAUACAUAGCUGGUCUGAGAGGAUGACCAGCCACACUGGAACUGAGACACGGUCCAGACUCCUACGGGAGGCAGCAGUGGGGAAUAUUGCACAAUGUGCGCAAGCCUGAUGCAGCCAUGCCGCUUGUUUGAAGAAGGCCUUCGGGUUGUAAAGUACUUUCAGCGAGGAGGCGUUACUCGCAGAAGAAGCACCGGCUAACUCCGUGCCAGCAGCCGCGGUAAUAC